AACGAACGCUGGCGGCAGGCUUAACACAUGCAAGUCGAACGCACCUUUCGGGGUGAGUGGCAGACGGGUGAGUAACGCGUGGGAAUCUACCCUUCUCUACGGGAUAGCUCCGGGAAACUGGAAUUAAUACCGUAUACGUCCUGAGGGAGAAAGAUUUAUCGGGGAAGGAUGAGCCCGCGUUGGAUUAGCUAGUUGGUGGGGUAAAGGCCUACCAAGGCGACGAUCCAUAGCUGGUCUAAGAGGAUGAUCAGCCACAUUGGGACUGAGACACGGCCCAAACUCCUACGGGAGGCAGCAGUGGGGAAUAUUGGACAAUGGACGCAAGCCUGAUCCAGCCAUGCCGCGUGAGUGAUGAAGGCCCUAGGGUUGUAAAGCUCUUUCAGUGGGGACGAUAAUGACGGUACCCACAGAAGAAGCCCCGGCUAACUUCGUG
RNAcentral lists this ribosomal RNA (433 nucleotides) under uncultured bacterium. RNAcentral's name for it is "partial 16S ribosomal RNA". It matches the Rfam family "Bacterial small subunit ribosomal RNA", at positions 29 to 507 of the family's 1533-position model. The record is from RNAcentral.